This 124-nucleotide unclassified non-coding RNA is filed under the name Geotalea uraniireducens Rf4. RNAcentral describes it as "Geobacter uraniireducens Rf4 SRP RNA; RNA component of signal recognition particle". The stretch from base 10 to 108 matches the Rfam family "Bacterial small signal recognition particle RNA". From Rfam's summary of the family: The signal recognition particle (SRP) is a universally conserved ribonucleoprotein involved in the co-translational targeting of proteins to membranes. Archaeal SRP consists of a 7S RNA and homologues of the eukaryotic SRP19 and SRP54 proteins. In most bacteria, the SRP consists of a 4.5S RNA and the Ffh protein (a homologue of the eukaryotic SRP54 protein). The record is from RNAcentral. Lineage: Bacteria; Pseudomonadati; Thermodesulfobacteriota; Desulfuromonadia; Geobacterales; Geobacteraceae.
ACAACUGAUAGCUGGGCCCCACGCAACGGAAGGUUACGAACUCCGUCAGGUCCGGAAGGAAGCAGCGGCAGUAACUCACACCGUGUGCCGCGGGAUCGCCCAGCUAUCAGUUGUGUCCGCAAUU